This is a long non-coding RNA of Oreochromis niloticus (Nile tilapia), 1079 nucleotides long. NCBI's taxonomy places the organism in Eukaryota, Metazoa, Chordata, Actinopteri, Cichliformes, Cichlidae. The record is from Ensembl.
UGCUCUUAUUAUAUAUACUCUUAACUUCAUCUCUUUUUUUAAAGGCACCUAUAUACAUAGAUAGUUAAUAGGUUUAUUAUUACUGUUAGAGAAAGUUUGAAAUAACCAUAUUACAAAUUACUGACUGAAAACUGUACUUAUUGGAAACCCAGACUGUGUAUUGGUGGUAUUGUAACACAAUGAUGCAAUUAGUUUAAUACGUCAUGAAGAUUUCUGUGAAAGUGAAACAACAGAAAGUGCUCAAUGUAAACACAUAUCAGAUGUGCGCCAUCAGGGAGGUGGCUGCAGGUCUGCAUUAAAGCACUGUGUAAAGUCCCAUCUCUUCAUUUCAUUUAUCAGCUUGUAUUUGCAUCACAGGUAAGCUGAAAACUAACAUUUACAACAUCAUAGUUUAUUCUAGAACUUUUCACUAAUCAGACGGUUGCAGAUUCGACUGAGUAUUUCUAUUACCAUUGUUUGUGUAUUGCUAUCAUUGUACAUUUUUCAAUUAGAAUAUAUAUUCCCUCGAAUUUUCUAAUGUUGUUUCUUUUUUGUAAAUAUUCUAUUUGUUUUCUUACAGUGUAAAAAAUUCAUGUUAUUUACUCCUAACAGUGAUGGCAGCAGCAGUUUUGGACAGAAGCAGAGGGGUGGCUGUUUUCAGCAUCAACAAAGGCCUGUUCCUCAUGUCCACCCUGCUGUGUCUGGUUUGCCUUUCAACUUCACUGACAAACAAGAACCAACUGGAACAACUCAGAGAAACCUAUCGGAAAACACAACAACAAAUAGAAUUACUGAAGGCUGAGCAUGAGGAAGAAGUGGCCUCCAUUAAACAGAUGAUGAAUGAAUGCAGUCACGUUAUGGACCCAGUGAUUGUACUGGUGAAGGAAACGAUGCAAGCAUCACGCGAUGAUGAUUUUCCUCCACUAGAUAAAUUUAUGGAGGGCAUUAAAAAUUACAUGAAGAAAACUCAAGCUUACAUUGACAUGAAGCAAGAGGAGUUCAGUGGAAUAAUUGAGGAAAAUGAAAAGAAACUGAAGAAAACUAAGAAAUCAAUUGAAUUUCUUGAGGAACAGGAAGCUCAUUUGUAACUUCCAUGUAAG